RNAcentral lists this non-coding RNA (21 nucleotides) under Caenorhabditis elegans. Lineage: Eukaryota; Metazoa; Nematoda; Chromadorea; Rhabditida; Rhabditidae. The record is from RNAcentral.
UAUCAAAUUUUCAAAAUCUCC